This is a long non-coding RNA of Brassica napus (rape), 2490 nucleotides long. RefSeq lists it as uncharacterized. The transcript is spliced from 2 exons. Lineage: Eukaryota; Viridiplantae; Streptophyta; Magnoliopsida; Brassicales; Brassicaceae. The record is from RefSeq and is a predicted model, not a curated record.
UUAUUUUGCUUAACACACUUAGCAAGUUGAUCAAUAUAGAUAAGUUUUUUGGAAGAUACAUAUUGGAACCGUGGUAUUCGUACAAAGACAAGACGGCGACAAUGUCUUGGACAUAGAUAGCAAUUGCUACAUCACAGCAAUCCUGCGCGUUCAUGCUUCUUAUCCAUGGCUAAUGAAUCGUAUAGAUUCUUAGCAUCUUCUUCAAAAACGAUUGACUUAUACCGCAUCUUUCUCAAACAUCCAUCUUGAACGCCAGUGCUCUAGCCCCCAGUGGAGAUAAUAAGACUUAAAUGCUCGAAGAGUCUAUAGUAGUCGGUCUAUUUCGGUGUAAUAGUUUGCAAAUCACAAAAGAAAAAAAUAUAUAUUUUUAAAGUUUUCAUUUAUUUUAUCACAUUCUUUUUAAAUAUUUCGGUUUUAAAUUGGUCUAUUUCAAUUUAAUUGGUUUAAAAGCAUUAAGAAGAUGUAUUGGAUUAAGAAUCUGAGGAAUUUUAGUUAAAACUACAAAGAAUUGAAAUUAGAAUAGCUUUUGUAAGGUUUUUGUUACAAACUUUAAGGUGACUUUUCUAACAUGUAUUUUUAUUUAAUUUAUUUAAAAUGGUACAAUUUAUCCUUCAAAACUUUGUUAUGAUUAUUUUUUAUUUUAUAAUAUACAGAAAAUAUAUACAAAUAAAAUAUUUUUGCCUAGAUUAUUUAGAAAAAAAAGUGAGUUGAAUUAGCUUAUUUAAAAACUUCUAGCAAUAUUAUGGUCAUAUAUUUUUAAUUAUAAAUUAAAUUUUGACACACACAUUUAAAAGGUACCAUUGUUUUUGGAUGAUGAAAAAAUUAUUUAAAAGCUUUUAUUCUAUACAUUUGAUCUAUUUUUAAGUUUUUUAUAAAUUUAUGUUUACAUUUCUGUGCAUUAUUUGUUUUCUUAAGGAUAUUUUUAAGUUUUGAGAAGAAUUUAGAUCUGCUAUAUAUAAUUACUUUUAAUUUACAUAUUUAAAAAUUGGAUGAUUUUUUAGAAGUUUUUAUAUAUUUUUGUUACAUGUGUAUAAAUUUAGCUUUUCAAUAUUAAAUUUGCGAAUAUAAGCUAAAGUCUUACAAAAAUAAAAAUAGAGUAACCAUUAGAUUUUAGAAAAAUAUGUAUUGCUAUGGCUAGAGUAAAUAUUUAUGAUUUGUGAAUAGUUGUGAUGUUUGUUAAUUUUUUUCAUUUUUAAAAUACUUAAAACAUCAAUAAUACAAGGCGGAAAAAAAAAAUUUCUGGAAAUAAAUUAAACGGAAACAUGUUUCUAUGGAGACUAAUCCCUAAUAUAUACAACUAAUACAUGAUAAAAAAAAUAGCGCUUUAGAUAUAAAUUUAUUUCUCUUUUGAAACUAUAUGAAGUUACUUUUUAUCUUUUGAUUACACAUAAAGACUAUUUUAAGCCUAAAAUCCAUGAUCUAUGAUUGCAGAUUUUUAUAAAUAUCCAUGAUCUAUGACUUUAUUUUAACACAUGUAAAGGUUGCCAGAUUUUUUUAGUUAUAUAAAUUCAAUUUUGACAAUUACUAGAUAUUUGAUAUCUUUUAUAUAUAUAAUUAUCUAUGAUUGUACUAUCAAAAACUUGAUGUGAACAUAUUUACAUUACAUAUGUAAAACUUUUUCAUAUCUGUGUUUUAUAAGAGAAAUCAUAAUAUAUUUUUAAUGAAAGAUUGGAAUAACCAUAUGAAUAUAUAAUACUAAAUAUAUUUUACAUUAUUUAUCAAAAUCUUACAAAAAUAAUAAUUAAUAAAAAAUUAUAAGUUUAAAGUGAAUUAAAAUGAAAACUGAUAAUUCAUAAUUAGUUUUCAUCUAAAAUGAUAUAAAAUCAAAAAUUCAUAAAACAUUAAUGUAAAUAAUAGAAUAAUUAAAUAUUUUUUAGAGUUAUAUAUACUAACGUUAAUGGAAAUAUUCAGUCCAUAAUAACAAUUUUAAUUCAUAUUUAUUACAGUUUGAAAAAUACAUCUCAAUAGUCAAUAUAAAAUUAUAUAUGGACAAGGUAAUAUGAAAGAAAAUAAAAAGUCCACACUUUAGGUAAGAAAUCACUUUUAUAUUAUUUUUGACUGUAAUCUAAGAAAAUUAAAUGAAAGAUUUUCUCUUAGAGAUUUUUUAUGCAAGUUCAUGUUUGUAUAUAUAAUAUCAAUCCAAAGUAACAGAACACUCAAACAAUUUAGAAAACAUCCUACAAAAUGAGUUUCUUCCAAAAUAUAUUAAUCUCAUUUGUUUUCACUAUUUUCUUCAUGACUUCAAAUGUUCACUGCACCAAUAAUGUUCCGGAUUUUGGAGUAGAAGAAAAAAUUACAAAAUGCAAUUAUCCUUGUAACCGAGAAGCUGCAUGUGUCUACUUUUGUAGAGCCAAAUAUCAGGCAACUGGUAGUUGUAGUACUGGCCGUUGUUGUUGUAGCAAAUAAAAAAAUUAGAAUAAUUUUAUUAGAUAUUAUAUAUUUAAUAAAAUGAAAAUAAUAUCACCAAUAAUACAUAAACAUGUUAUCAAA